RNAcentral lists this ribosomal RNA (458 nucleotides) under uncultured bacterium. Its description in RNAcentral is "partial 16S ribosomal RNA". It matches the Rfam family "Bacterial small subunit ribosomal RNA", at positions 338 to 795 of the family's 1533-position model. The record is from RNAcentral.
CCUACGGGAGGCAGCAGUGAGGAAUAUUUGUCAAUGGGCGAGAGCCUGAACCAGCCACGUCGCGUGAGGGAGUACUGCCCUAUGGGUUGUAAACCUCUUUUGUCGGGGAGCAAAAGCCGGACGUGUCCGGCUGUGAGAGUACCCGAAGAAAAAGCAUCGGCAAAAUCCGUGCCAGCAGCCGCGGUAAUACGGAGGAUGCGAGCGGUAUCCGGAUUUAUUGGGUUUAAGGGGUGCGUAGGCGGUCCGUUAAGUCAGCGGUAAAAUUGCGGGGCUCAACCCCGUCGAGCCGUUGAAACUGGCAGACUUGAGUGGGCGAGAAGUACGCGGAAUGCGCGGUGUAGCGGUGAAAUGCAUAGAUAUCGCGAAGAACUCCGAUGGCGAAGGCAGCGUACCGGCGCCAGACUGACGCUGAGGCACGAAAGCGUGGGGAGCGAACAGGAUUAGAUACCCGGGUAGUC